AUACGUAGGGAGCGAGCGUUGUCCGGAAUUACUGGGCGUAAAGGGAGCGUAGGCGGGAAGGCAAGUUGGAUGUGAAAACUGUGGGCUCAACCGACAGACUGCAUUCAAAACUGUUUUUCUUGAGUGAAGUAGAGGCAAGCGGAAUUCCUAGUGUAGCGGUGAAAUGCGUAGAUAUUAGGAGGAACACCAGUGGCGAAGGCGGCUUGCUGGGCUUUUACUGACGCUGAGGCUCGAAAGUGUGGGGAGCAAACAGGAUUAGAUACCCUGGUAGUCCACACCGUAAACGAUGAUUACUAGGUGUGGGGGCGUCAAGCUUCCGUGCCGGAGUUAACACAAUAAGUAAUCCACCUGGGGAGUACGGCCGCAAGGUUGAAACUCAAAGGAAUUGACGGGG
RNAcentral lists this ribosomal RNA (394 nucleotides) under uncultured bacterium. Its description in RNAcentral is "partial 16S ribosomal RNA". It matches the Rfam family "Bacterial small subunit ribosomal RNA", at positions 523 to 918 of the family's 1533-position model. The record is from RNAcentral.